This 497-nucleotide ribosomal RNA is filed under the name uncultured bacterium. Its description in RNAcentral is "partial 16S ribosomal RNA". It matches the Rfam family "Bacterial small subunit ribosomal RNA", at positions 28 to 507 of the family's 1533-position model. The record is from RNAcentral.
GAUGAACGCUGGCGGCGUGCCUAAUACAUGCAAGUCGAGCGAACAGAUAAGGAGCUUGCUCCUUUGACGUUAGCGGCGGACGGGUGAGUAACACGUGGGUAACCUACCUAUAAGACUGGGAUAACUUCGGGAAACCGGAGCUAAUACUGGAUAAUAUUUCGAACCGCAUGGUUCGAUAGUGAAAGAUGGUUUUGCUAUCACUUAUAGAUGGACCCGCGCCGUAUUAGCUAGUUGGUAAUGUAACGGCUUACCAAGGCGACGAUACGUAGCCGACCUGAGAGGGUGAUCGGCCACACUGGAACUGAGACACGGUCCAGACUCCUACGGGAGGCAGCCGUAGGGAAUCUUCCGCAAUGGGCGAAAGCCUGACGGAGCAACGCCGCGUGAGUGAUGAAGGUCUUCGGAUCGUAAAACUCUGUUAUUAGGGAAGAACAUACGUGUAAGUAACUGUGCACGCCUUGACGGUACCUAAUCAGAAAGCCACGGCUAACUACGUG